UAUAUUCAAGUGUUUUAAGCAUAUAAAAUUUUGAAUUUUGUGGAAUUAAUUAAUUUAAUGAAUAUAA
This 67-nucleotide transfer RNA is filed under the name Halictus rubicundus. Its description in RNAcentral is "tRNA-Gln". The record is from RNAcentral. Lineage: Eukaryota; Metazoa; Arthropoda; Insecta; Hymenoptera; Halictidae.